ACGUUAACAUUUACUUUAUUAGCUUAUACAUGACAUUGAUUUCCAAAAUAAAGUUUCUUUAUAUACCGAAAUCCUAAGGUUGAUAGUGUGAUGUGUCUCCGACCAAAUCCGACCUCCGAGCUCUUAACACUACAAAACAGGGAAAGAGGAAACAGGGUAAGCAUUUUGUGCUUAGUAAGCUCAUGUAACAAGAGUUAUACUUACCUAAUAUUUUCAAUACAAUACUAUAAACUUUCAUAUAUCCAUUCAAUGCAUUAUUACCCUAACAUGCACAAACUCAACAUUCAAGUUAGUACAAUAAUUUCCAUGUACCAAUAAUAUAUACUAUGAUUGAUGAGCUCAUCAAUACCAUGAUUUCCAUUUCCUUAUAUAUAUAUAUAUAUUCAUAUUUGUCUCGUUUAAUUUCUUGGAAUUUUUGAUGGAUUUUUAGAGGUACACUUUUAGUGUACAUUUCCGAGUCCGUCAAUUCAUAUUCAUGUGCGCACAUUUCCAUUUCAGAGAGCACACUCUCACGAACCUCAUCCUUACAGCGGGAUUACCAGUCCAGGCUAAAUCCCCUGUAAUAUAAACUCAUAGAGUAUAGUCGGGAUUACCAGUCCAGGCUAAAUCCCCUACAACGACAAUCACUCUAAUGAGCUUGGAUCUGAAUUACCAGUCCAGGAUAAAUUCAGACCCUAAUUCGGAUUACCCGUCCGGGCUAAAUCCAUUUUCCACAUAUUCUUCGAGAGGGCUAUAUCAGGAUAGGAUCACCCGUCCGAGCUAGAUCCUUUUUACUGUCAAUUCCUUUUCAGAGAUCCAUCGAAUUUUCCUUUCAUUCAACCAGGAUUUCUUCCCCUUUUAUCAAAUAUGUCAAUGUUUCAUAAAUUUUCAUAUAAUGAACAUUCAAAUCAUAUUCAUAUCAAAAACAUACAUUUCAAGUAUUUAAGAAUAUCAAAAACUUACCUUGAUACUUGUUCAUGUACAAAAAUCUGCUAAUCCUGAACUUUUUCCUUUCCUCGAUUAGCUUCGUAUUUGAAUCUUCUAGAUCUAAAUAAAUAAAUUUGAUUAUCAAUUUAAUACAUUUCAUGUUCAUAUGCAACAAUUUCUAUAAUUUCAUUAUUAUUAUUUAUAGUUUAUUCAAAGCUGUCUAUUUGAGUCAUAGUCACUAAAUUAUUUAGAACUCGAGCUAUGAAACUCAAAAUUAAGAUCCGUUAAUUUUCCCUAAAACUAGACUUAUAUAUAUUUUUACCAUAAAAUUUUCAGAAUUUCUGGUUUAGCAAAUAAGUACAUUUUAUUCUUUAAAUUCACCCAUGUUCUGCUGUCUGACAGUUCUGACUGUCCUUCACUAAAAAUUAAUUAUCUAUUCAUAAAGAAUUCGGAUGAUGUUCUUGUUUGUUUCUCUUGAAAAUAGACUCAUUCAGGAUUAUAGAAAUAUAAAUUUAAGCCCCUAAUUAGUUUUAUUCAAUUUAUUAUGAUUUUUCAAAGUCAUAAAAUGGGAACUCAAAUUCAUUCUGACCUUGUCUCACAAGAUUCAUUAUAUUUCAUGAUUUACAGAUCCAUUGCUUACAUCGUUUCUUCUAUGAGAAACUAGACUCAAUAAGAUUUAAUUAUAUAUUUUUUUAAUCUUCUAAUUUGAUUAUUAAAUUUAUGGUGAUUUUUCAAAGUUAGUCUACCGCUGCUGUCCAAUAUUGUUUUAGUGCAAGCUGUUUAUUACCAUUUUUCCCUUAAGCUUUUAAUAAAUAACAAUUUCGUCCCUACUUAAUUAGCCUCUCAAUUGAGCUGAUUUUUCUCAAUUAACACUUUAUUCUAUCACCUUAAACUAGUUUACAACCUUUAGGAAUCAAAAUUUCAACAAUAGACUUUAAUUCCAAACAUAUUCACAAUUAGGUCCUAAACAUCAAUUUCUAUUGAAAUUACCUAAUAAAAUCAUCUCAUAAACAAAUUAAAGCUUUAAUUUCAUUCUAUUUCAUCAUAAAAUUACAGAACUCAACCAUGGUGACUUUCAAUUUCAUCCAUGAAAUCCAAAACUAAUGAAUUUAAUAGUAGGACCUAGUUGUAAAAGUCUUAGAAACACAAAAAUUACAAGAAAAAGGCAAGGAUUAACUCACUUGGUGAAAAAAUUAUGGAAUACCAGCUUAGAGAACCCUCCUAUGGCAUUUUUAGCUGCUAGAAUUGAAGAGAAAUGAAGAGAAAUCUAGAUAUUUCCUAUUUAGUCCUAGCUUUAUUUAGUUAAUUUUGCAAUAUUCCAAUUUUGCCCUUAAUUUAUCAAUUUUCCUCCUGAUUUCAUGCCCUUGCCGUCCAGCCCAAAUAAAAUUUGGGUCUAAUUGCCUUUUAAAUCCUCCCUCAUUAGACACUUAAGCUAUUUAAUCAUCCCAUCCACUUUUACACAUUUUAAAUUUAGUCCUUUUCAUUUAAUUAACUAUCCAAACAUUAAAAUUUCCUAACGAAAUUUUAAUACCAGAUUACUAACAUUUCAUAAAUAUUUAUGAAAUUAUUUUCAAUUCAAUCUUACGAGAUAGAGGUCCCGAUACCUUAUUUUACCCAAUUUCUUCAAUAAUUUCUUUUUCUAACUAACCACUAAAUCGAUAAAAAAAUUUAUCAAUAUUUUCAUACGAUUUUCCUAUCAUAUCAAUUUUCAUACAAAAAUAUUGAAAUAAAUUUCUCUUUAAAUCGGAUUUGUGGUUACAAAACCGCUAUUCCGAUAACCUUGAAUUUAGGCCAUUACAACUCUCCCCCCUUUUAGGAUUUUCGUCCUCGAAAAUCUUACCAGUAAAGAGGUUUGGGUAUUGUUUCCUCCUUGCCUCCUCCAGUCCCAUGUCGCUUCUUCAAUCCUGUGCUUUUGCCACAAUACUUUCACCAAAUUUAUCUUUUUAUUUCUAAGCAAUUUUGUCUCCCGUGCCAAUUCUUGACCGGUUCUUCACUGUAAGUCAUAUCCGGUUGAAUCUCCACUUCUGUCGGAGAAAUAACAUGUAAAGGAUAUGAUCGAUAUCGUCUUGACAUAGAUACAUGAAAAACAUUAUGGAUUCUAUCAAGUUCCAGUGGUAAUGCCAAUCGAUAAGCGAUCGGUCCAAUUUUUUCUAUGAUUUCAUAUGGCCCAAUAAAUCUUGGACUCAGUUUACCCUUUCGACCGAAUCGAAGAACUUUCUUCCAAGGAGACACUUUCAGGAAUACCUUCUCACCGACUUGAAAUUCAAUCUCUUUUCGUUUAAGGUCAGCAUAUAAUUUUUGAUGAUCGGAAGCUGCUUUUAGACUAUCCCGAAUAACCUUUACUUUUUCUUCUGUUUCCCGGAUCAAAUCAACCCCAUGUAUAUUCCUUUCACUGAGUUCUGUCUAAUAUAACGGUGUUCUACAUUUUCUACCAUACAAAGCUUCAUACGGAGUCAUUUUAAUACUGGAUUGAUAACUAUUAUUGUAAGAAAAUUCAAUCAAAGGUAGAUAUCUCUUCCAAUUACCUUCAAACUCUAGUAUACAACAUCGAAGCAUAUCUUCCAAUACUUGAAUUUCACGCUCAGAUUGACUAUCUGUCUAAGGAUGAAAUGAAGUGCUGAAAUACAACUGAGUACCCAACGCUUCUUGCAAAUUGUCCCAGAAACGAGACGUAAAUUGGAGAUCUCUAUCUGAUAUAAUGGAGACAGGCACUCUAUGUAGCCUAACAAUCUCAGAUAUAUAUAGUUCAGCUAGUUUAUCUAAAGAAUAAUCCAUACGUACCGGAAUAAAGUGCGCUGACUCUGUCAAUCAGUCAAUAAUCACCCAAAUAGCAUCUUUUUUCCUCGGAGACAAAGGUAACCCCGAUACAAAGUCCAUAGUGAUUCUUUCCCAUUUCCAUUCUAGUAUAGUAAUUGGCUGAAGUAACCCCGAAGGUACCUGAUGUUCAACUUUAACUUGCUGACAUAUUAAACACCUUGAUACAAAUUCAGAGAUAUCAUGUUUCAUUCCCGACCACCAGUACAUCUUUUUCAGAUCAUUAUACAUUUUAUUACUCCCCGGAUGUACAGACAUAGUAUCGCUGUGAGCGUUGCAUAGAAUCUUUUGUAUGAGCUCUAAAUUCUAAGGUACACAUACCCUACCUCUGAAUAAUAAACAACCAUCAGAAUCAAUCUGAAAUUCAGAAUCAUUACUUGACUCACACUGUACCCGUUUAACCUGUAACUUCUCAUCAUUCUUCUAGGCUUCACAUAUUUGCUGUAAAAAUGUUGGUUUAGCUCUCAAUUCAGCUAUAAUUGAACCAUCAUCAGUCAGUGACAAUUGGGUAUUCAUAGCUCAUAAAACAAACAGAGAUUUCCGGCUCAAAGCAUCAGCUACAACAUUAGCUUUACCCGGAUGGUAAUCAAUAAUCAAAUCAUAGUCCUUUAUCAGUUCAAGCCACCUGCGGUGUCUCAAAUUCAAAUAUUUCUAUGUCAUCAAAUAUUUCAAGCUUUUAUGAUCAGUAUAAAUAUGACAUUUCUCACCGAACAAGUAAUGCCGCCAUAUCUUCAAUGCAAAUACAAUAGUAGCUAAUUCAAUAUUAUGUACUGGGUAAUUUCUUUCAUGUGGUUUAAGUUGUCUUAAAGCAUAGUCUAUUACUUUACCUUCUUGCAUCAAGACAUAACCUAAACCAUUUAAUGAGGCAUCACUGUAAAUAACAAAUUCCUUACCCGGUUUAGGUUGCACUAAUACAGGUGCUUUCGUUAGUAGAUCUUUCAAUCGAUUGAAACUUUGCUGACAUUCAUCAGUCCACUCAAACUUUACAUCUUUCUACAAUAAUCGAGUUAUUGGAGAAGCUAUCAUAGAGAAUCCCUCUACAAAUCUCCGAUAAUAACCAGCUAAACCCAAGAAACUUCUAACUUCGGAUACAAUUUUCGGUGGACUCCAAUUAACAAUAGCUGAGAUUUUACUUGGAUCUACCCUAAUGCCUUCGGCAGAUAUAAUAUGUCCUAGAAAACCCACUUCUCGAAGCCAAAAUUCACAUUUACUAAAUUUAGCAUAUAACUGCUUCUCUCUCAGAAUUUGCAACACAAUUCUCAAAUGUUUUGCAUGUUCUUCUUCAUCCCAAGAAUAAACCAAAAUAUCAUCAAUGAAUACUACUACAAAUCUAUCUAAGUACGGUCUGAAUAUUCGGUUCAUCAAAUCCAUGAAUACUGCAGGUGCAUUAGUUAGCCCAAACGGCAUAACCAGAAACUCAUAAUGCCCGUACCUAGUUCUAAAGGUUGUUUUUGGCACGUCUGACUCCUUUACCCGUAACUGAUAAUAACCUGAUCGAAGAUCAAUCUUUGAAAACAUAGUAGCACCUUUCAGCUGAUCAAAUAAAUCAUCAAUCUGGGGUAACGGAUACUUAUUCUUUACGGUUACUUUAUUAAGCUGUCGGUAGUCGAUACACAAUCUCAAAGACCCGUCUUUCUUUUUCACAAACAGAACCGGAGCACCCAAGGUGAAUGACUCGGUCGGACAAAACCCCUGUCAACAAGUUCCACUUCUCUUUCUAGUGGCAACCCUGGUAAUUCCUCUGGAAACACAUCAAAAAAUUCACAUACUAUUGGCACUGCCUGUAUCCUUGACUUAGAUACCUUGGUGUCGAGUACAUAAGCCAAGUAAGCAUCAUACCCUUUUUUGACAUACCUCUGUGCUGCCAUUACUGAAAUCACAUUAGAUAACCCCUCUGUCUGAUCAGAUUUAACCCGGAGCAACUCACCAUUCUGACAUUUUAGCACAAUAUAUUUCUGUCUACAAUUUACUACUACAUUAUGCUGAGUUAACCAAUCCAUGCCCAAUAUCAUGUCAAAUUCAUCAAAUGGCAAUAACAUCAAAUCAGCCGGGAAACAAUAACCUUUUACCAUCAGUGGACAAUUUUUACAAAUUUUAUCCACCGAAACAAAUUGACCUAGGGGGUUCGAGACUUUAACCACAAAUUCAGUAGGUUCAAUAGAUAAAUUUUUAACAAUUGCAAGUUUAACACAUAUAUAUGAAUGUGUAGAACCAAGAUCAAUCAAUGCAGUAAUAUCAGUAUCAAGUAAAGAAAAUGUACCGGUAAUAACAUCGGGUGCUGAGGCAUCUUCUCUGGCACGGAUGGCAUAUAUCCUAGCAGGUGCUCGUGCUUCAAACCUGCCUGCAAUAUUUUUCAUAGCUCCUCGGCUACCACUGACAUUACCAGAUGGUCGAGGUGGUCUGCCCCUCGAAACUGGAUUACUUAGCUUCGAUUACUGCUUAUCUUCUUUUUUUACCUCUUUUUGGACAAUCUCUAAGGAAAUGGCCGAAAGAACCACAUCGGUAACAAGCCCCACUCUUAAAUCGGCAUUCACCAAAAUGAAUUUUAUUACAGUACUGACAUCUCGGCUUAGGGAUACCAACACUGCCAACACUGGUAACUGAUGGAGUGGAAGGUCUUGGAUUAGUGUGUUGAGAACCUCGCUCUCUACCCGAAUACCCAGUGGCUGAGGUAGAACAAUCCUGGUACUUCUUCAAUUUCUUUGGAGCAGAAAACUGGGAUUUUCCCAUCGGUCUUUUACUAAAAAUUCGAGCGUCUCUCUCAGCCUAUUUCUUUUCUUUGCUCAAUUCUUCUGCUUUAUAAGCUCUCUCUGCCAAUGUAGCAAACUCUCGAAUUUCAAGAAUUCCGAUCAGUAGCUUAAUGUCUUCAUUCAACCCUUCUUCGAAUCGUUUGCACAUUUCAGCUUCUGACUAUACCCAUUCUCAAGCAUAUUUACUCAAUCGAACAAAUUCUCUUUCAUACUCAAAUACUGAUCUGUUACCCUGUUUCAGCUCAAGAAAUUAUUUUCUCUUCUGAUCAAGAAACCUCUAGCUGAUAUAUUUCUUUCUAAACUCGGUCUGAAAGAAUUCCCAUGUAAUUUCUUCUUUUGGAACAAUUGAAGCCUUAGUAUUCCACCAAUGGUAAGCUAUGUCUUUUAGCAGUGAGACGGCACAUUUCAGACAUUCUUCUGGUGUACAAGAUAAUUCCUCCAAAACCCGAGUAGUGUUUUCUAACCAGAAUUCAGCCCGUUUGGAAUCAUCAUCAACUGCUACUCGAAAUUCUUCGGCCCCAUAUUUUUGAAUUUUAUCUACUGGAGCUUUUCCUUUUCUGACAGAUUCAGUACCUGUACCCUGUGGGAUCUCGGGAACCAGUGGAGGAGUAGGAGGAGGAGCUUGAACUUGCUGCACUACAGGGUUAGUUCUUAAGUAUUUAUUAAACCAUUCAUUCAUCAUUUGAAAGAAGGCUAGUUUUUCCUCUUCCCCUUGACCCUCAGAUACGGGCCUUGUACUACUAGUAACUUCGGCUUCCCUCUGUCCCCAUUUCUGAGCCAGAGAAUGACUCCCGGCUUCCACGAAUUGAGCUCGGUCAGUAGACAUUUACUAUAAGAAAAACACAUUUAAAUGGUCAGAAGAUAUCACACUAUCAAUAAUAAUUUAAAUGGCAUGCAUAGCUAAUCCCGUAUUUGCUAUAUCAGUCCUAGAAUCGGCUAAACCGUAGCUCUGAUACCACUAAAUGUAACACCCCCUACCCAUAUUCAUUAUCGGAAUAGCGUACAAGGUAUUAUCGGAGUUUAUGAUUUUUUUAUUCAAUAUAGCCCCUUUAUAAAUAUCUAACCUUCCCUGCAAUAUUAAAUCGAGACCAAUCCACAUCAACCAAACCAAUUCAGAUUAUUUUCAAGAAAAAUUCAUGCAUAUUUAUAAGAUAAAGUCAUCACAUACCCAAAACCAGGUUUAUUAACCAUACUAAUGGCUAACUUUACAUUCAUUUCACGUUAACAUUUACUUUAUUAGCUUAUACAUGCCAUUGAUUUCCAAAAUACAGUUUCUUUAUAUACUGAAAUCCUGAGGUUGAUAGUGUAUGUGUCUCCGACCAAAUCUGACCUCCGAGCUCUUAACACUACAAAAUAGAGGAAAAGGAAACAAGGUAAGCACUUGGUGCUUAGUAAGCUCAUGUAACAAGAAUUAUACUUACCUAAUAUUUUCAAUACAAUACAAUAAACUUUCAUAUAUCCAUUCAAUGCAUUAUUACCCUAACAUACACAAACUCAACAUUCAAGUUAGUACAAUAAUUUCCAUGUACCAAUAAUAUAUACUAUGAUUGAUGAGCUCAUCAAUACCAUGAUUUCCAUUUCCUUAUAUAUAUAUUUUUUUCAUAUUUGUCCCGUUGAAUUUCUUGGAAUUUUUUAUGGAUUUUCAGAGGUACCCUUUUAGUGUACAUUUCUGGGUCCGUCAAUUCAUAUUCAUGUGCGACAUUUCCAUUUCAGAGAGCACACUCCCACGAACUCAUCCUUACAGCGGGAUUACCAGUCUAGGCUAAAUCCCCUGUAAUAUAAACUCAUAGAGUAUUGUCGGGAUUACCAGUCCAGGCUAAAUCCCUUGCAACGACAAUUACUCUAAUGAGCUUGGAUCUGAAUUACCAGUCCAAGCUCAAUUCAGACUCUAAUUCGGAUUACCCGUCAGGGCUAAAUCCAGUUUCCACAUAUUCUUCGGGAGGGCUAUAUCAGGAUAGGAUCACCCGUCCGGGCUAGGUCUUUUUUACCGUCAAUUCCUUUUUAGAGAUCUAUCGAAUUUUCCUUUCAUUCAACCGAGAUUUCUUCCCCUUUUAUCAAAUAUGUCAAUGUUUCAUAAAUUUUCAUAUAAUGAACAUUCAAAUCAUAUUCAUAUAAAAAAACAUACAUUUCAAGUAUUUAAGAAUAUAAUUCAAGUUACAUGAACUUACCUUAAUACUUGUUCGUGUACAAAAAUCUACUAAUUUUGAACUUUUUCCUUUCCUCGAUCUAGCUUCGUAUUUGAAUCUUCUAGAUCUAAAUAAAUAAAUUUAAUUAUCAAUUUAAUACAUUUCAUGUUCAUAUGCAACAAUUUCUAUAAUUUCAUUAUUACUAUUUAUAGUUUAUUCAAAGCUGUCUAUUUGAGUCAUAGUCACUAAAUUAAGAUCCGUUAAUUUUACCUAAAACUAGACUCAUAUAUAUUCUUACCAUAAACUUUUUAGAGUUUUUGGUUUAGCCAAUAAGUACCGUUUAUUCUUUAAAGUCACCCCUGUUCUACUGUCUAAUAGUUCUGACCCUUCGUCACUAAAAAUUAAUUAUCUCUUCAUACAGAAUUUGGAUGAUGUUCCUGUUUGUUUCUCUUAAAAAUAGACCCAUUCAAAAUUCUAGACAUAUAAAUUUAAGCCCCUAGUUAUUUUUAUUCAAUUUUUAUGAUUUUUUAAAUUCAGAACAGGGGAACUCAAAUGCAUUCUAACCUUGUCUCACAAAAUUCAUUAUAUCUCAUGAUUUACAGAUCAAUUGCUUACAUCGUUUCUUCUAUGAGAAACUAGACUCAAUAAGAUUUCAUUAUUUAUUUUUUUAAUCUUCUAAUUUGAUUAUUAAAUUUAUGGUGAUUUUUCAAAGUUAUUCUACUGCUGCUGUCCAAUAUUGUUUUAGUGCAAGUUGUUUAUUACCAUUUUUCCGUUAAGCUUUUAAUAAAUAACAAUUUCAUCCCUACUAAAUUAGCCUUUCAAUUAAGCUAAUUUUUCUCAAUUAACACAUUAUUCUAUCACCUUAAACUAGUUUACAACCUUUAGGAAUCAAAAUUUCAGCAAUAGACUUUAAUUCCAAACAUUUUCACAAUUAGGUCCUAAAAAUCAAUUUCUAUUGAAAUUACCUAAUAAAAUCAUUUCAUAAAUAAAUUAAAGCUUUAAUUUCAUUCUAUUUCGUCAUAAAAUUAUAGAAAUCAACCAUGGUGACUAUCAAUUUCAUCCAUGAAAUCAAAAACUAAUGAAUUUAAUAGUAGGACCUAGUUGUAAAAGUCUUAGAAACACAAAAAUUUCAAGAAAAAGGUAAGGAUUAACUCACUUGGUGAAACAAUUAUGGAAUACCAGCUUAGAGAACCCUCCUAUGGCAUUUUUAGCUGCUAGAAUUGAAGAGAAAUGAAGAGAAAUCUAGAUAUUUCCUAUUUAGUCCUAGCUUUAUUUAGUUAAUUUUGCAAUAUUUCAAUUUUGCCCUUAAUUUACCAAUUUUCCUGCUGAUUUCAUGCCCUUGCCGUCCAUCCCAAAUAAAAUUUGGGUCUAAUUGCCUUUUAAAUCCUCUCUCAUUAGACACUUAAGCUAUUUAAUCAUCCCAUCCACUUUUACACCUUUUACAAUUUAGUCCUUUUCAUUUAAUUAACUAUCCAAACAUUAAAAUUUCCUAACGAAAUUCUAAUACCACAUUACUAACAUUUCAUAAAUAUUUAUAAAAUUAUUUUUGACUCGGUCUUACGAGAUAGAGCUCUCGAUACCUUAUUUUACCCAAUUUCUUCAAUAAUUUCUUUUUCUAACUAACCACUAAAUCGGUAAAUAAAUUUUAUCAAUAUUUUCAUACGAUUUUCCUAUCAUAUCAAUUUUCAUGCAAAAAUAUUGAAAUAAAUUUAUCUUUAAAUCAGAUUUGUGGUUACGAAACCACUAUUCCGAUAACCUUGAAUUUAGGCCAUUACAGAUUCUCAUAGUUCUCAUAUAAGAAAUUUCAUUAUCGUUGCCACCUCUUUUGUCAUUUUUCUUCUUUAUAGCAAAAUUGAAUCUAAUAUUUCAUUUGCCUUCACUGUAAUGAAAAUAAAAAACGAUAAUAAUGCUUUAAUUCAUUUGUUAUGUAUAUAUGGUUAUAAUCAGGUAAUCAUUUGUCCUUUAAAGCAAGUUGCUAAUUAAUAAAAAUUUAAUAGGAUAAAAUAUGCUCUAAGUAUCUGUAUUCUUAAUAUAUUUUCAAUUUAAUCCCUUUGCUUUUAUAUAUAGGAAUUCAAUCCAUUUUGACUAGAAAAAUAGUUUAGCAAUCCAUAAAAUAAAAUAAACACAAAAGUAAGAUAACACUAAGAGUGGUUCUCCCAGGGCAUUAACCCAAUAAUGUCUAUUUAUAAAGAAAAAAUCACAUAAUGGAAAAAAAUAAAGAAGUAACCUUGAUUAAAUAAAGUAUAAUUUUAGUAAAUUUUCGCGUCAAACUUUUAGGUUAUUUUUAACAUCUUCUUGGCAUUUCUUGGGCUCAAGUUGUGUAAUAACUUCAGUUAUAUCUUUCAAUUCACUUUAAAACAAUAUAUCAUGGGCCCAAAAUGAGUUCUUAGAUCAAGUUAUGGCCAAAAUACUGAUACAAUGUUGUGUUGAAAGUUUAAUUCGCAAAAACUUGCCAAAAAAUAGACUUUAACCUCUUUUGUAACACCCUUCACCCGUCUUCAUUACUAGAUUAGUGUUACAGGAUGCUACAAUAAAUAAUAGAAUAGGAUCAUGUUAUUUCAAUUUAAAACUUCUUUAGACAUUUAUCAAUUAUCAAACUUCAAGUUAAAACAUGUUAUUCAUACAAGAACAUGCUUAAAAUGAGCUUAAGAAAGCCCUAAAAAUAAUUUAGAACUAAGCAGGGACUAAUUUGAAACUUUUCAGAAAAGUGUGGAAAAAGUGCAAAACAUGUGUCACACAACCAUAUUAUAGGUUGAGGCCGUGUAGUGCAGGGUCACAUGUCAUGUCGCUAGGCUGUGUAACAAGUUGUGGUCGUGUGGACCUAAUUGUAAAAUCUUGAAAACAUUCACACAGCCAUGUAGCUAGGCCGUGUGAGACACUGAGAUUAUGUCUACCCAAAAUCACUCUGAUCAAAUAGAGCAUGUGGACGUGUCACUUGCUCGUGUGUGACACAGUGUCGAAUGUUAGCUAGUGUGUGCUAAAAUGUAACUUAUAAUGCAAGUCACAAACAUCAACUACUUACUUAAACCACAAGCAUGCCAUUAACUAUUCAAUAGACCUGUAUAAAUACACCAAAAUCAUACUAAAACAUAUUAAUUUCCUAAUUCUAACCAAUAUGUCAUAAGGCACCAUCACAGCCAAUAAUCACUACCUAUAUGUUUCCUAAUUCAUACCAAUUUUGAACAUAACUAAGCGAAUGCCAUAUAAAUCAUCAAAAGUGCCAAAAUUUCCAUUCUUUAUCCUUAAAUAUGUACCAAUAUAUAUUCAUCUCUACAAUAGGCACCAAAAGAAUCAAUGCACAUAACAUAUCCAUAACACCCAAAUCAAAUAUUAAAUCAUUAUGCCAUAUGUUCCAACCAACCUCACAUAUUCAAUCAAUUCAUAACAUAACUAAAUCAUGCCAACCAUUCAGAUGAAUCUCUCAUUUUUCCUAUACUUAACAACCAUAUUCAAAUUCACCAUUUCAAACCAUUACCAAGCAUAUCAAAAGGUUAUCUAACACACAUAUUAUGUGACACUCCAAACUCAACCAGGACGAAUCGGCACGAAUUCGAAGUGUUACAUUAGCUACCGAAGCGACUUUCCAGCUAACGACCACCCAACACAUACCCCAACCUUAUAACACCUUAUUUAUGACUAGUUAACUAUCACUUAUUAAUGCGGAAGCAAUUUGCGAACCAUUUGUAAAUUUUUUCUAAGUAUUUAAACCUAAGAGUAUUUUGGUCAUUUUACAACCUAAGGUUAAACUAUCCCGAUUAUUUUAUUUCUAAAUAGUUACCAACCUUCUUUUAGUCAAAUUAUGUAAGCCCUAAAAAUUUAAGCUUAAUUCGAGUUCAUUUACUAUGUCUAAUUCAAGUUUUAUUAUUAGGGGAUAAAUCAUAACUUUUACAAACUUUUAGUAUAUUUUCCAAAUUAAAAUUAAGGGUGUUUCUACCAAAUAUUACCAGUUGCAAGUCUAAUUCUAAAAUAUUACCAAGUUUCCCUAUCAUUAAAGGCUUAAAUUAAUCUAAUCAAGUUUUAGGACUCAAUUAUAAAUUAAGCAUAUUAGAAUACUAGAUUACAAAUACUAAAAAUUGAACCCCUAAAAACCUACAUGCCCGUGUGAAAAGACACAUGCCCGUGUGACCACUGCACCUAUUUUGUCAGAAAUUCGUUUAAUUACCCGAUUUUACAUAUUUUACUUACCCGUUAAACUUGAAAUAGCUACAAUUAAUUACCAUAAACAUCCACACAUCUCCAAUUUAAUUUAUUUACAACAAAUAUGCAGCAAUUAAUCAAAGUUUAACGCCCAAUUACACUCUUAGCAAACACCAAUUAAUUCACACAAGCUAAUACCUUAGUCGCAAGCAAUCCACUCCAUGGUAAACCUAAUUAAACAUUGUUAGUAUAAAAUACAUGCUUCAUACACCAUGUUAUCAACCACUGUACGAACACUCAUCAAUAUACAAUAAAUCAAACAUCAAUUAGACAUAAAAUCAUGUAUUAAAGCAAUUAUAAAAUCACCAAAGUUAAAGUCCAAAAUUUAAUGUCCAAUGUCCAUUACAAGUAAAAUAACACUAGCCCCUAAAGCAUCACAAUACCCCUAUAUAGUCUCUAAAGUAAAUUUCUUAAGCCACUACCGAGCCUUAUUCUUAGAUCGCCUUUGCAGUCACUUCUUGACUCCUUACAUCCAAAAAUUCUCUACACAAAAUAUGAGGGUGUGAGCUUAAAAAUCUCAGUGACUGAUAGUAAAAACAUCAAGUAAUUUGCAUCCAAUCAUGCUUAAAUUAAAGCAAUUAAGCAUUAAUUUUUCAGUCAGAACAAUUUAACAUUUCACCAUAAUAUCACAUGUUAUUUCACGAAUUAAGGAUCAAUUUUUCCAUGGCAUAUAAAGUCAUCUUUUAACACGUAAACAUUCAAUUAUAUUGGCAUAAUCGAUCAAUUAUAUUGGCAUAAUACAUCUGUGACAGCCCUAAAUUGACCCUAGUCGGAAAGUGGUUUCGGGACCACAAGACCCAAUCAUAAAAAUAAUUAACCAUUAUAUUUGAUGCUUAUUAUAUGUAUAUAGGCAUGUGUGAAAAUUUCAUGUUUGAAUUUUGUUAAUUGUAAGUGAAUUUUGCUAAAUAGGACUUGUGUGAGAAAAUUUAGAAAUGUGCUAGGCAAAUGUUAAAGUGGCCUAUUGAUGCAUGCUAGAAAAUGUUGUCCUUGCAUGUCAAAAUACCCAAAACUUGGGAUGGUGGCCGGCCAUGCUAUGGGUAAAAAGGUAUUAUAAACAUGUUAUGUUAGUGUUUCAUGGGAGGAAUGAUAAAAUAAGGAGCAUGGUAAUAAAAUAAUGAAAAGGAAAAUGAUGAAGAAAAAAAAAAGAAAAAGUUCUCAUGUUGUUCAACUUGGCCGAAUAGAAGAAAGAAAAAGAAGGGAAAGAGCUUGGAGAAAAUCGGCUAUGGUGGUUCACUAGACUAAGGUAUGUUGAUGUUGUUCCAUGAGAUUCAUGCAUGUUUUUAGUUGUUAGCUUGUGUUCUACCCAGCCCAUGGUUUAAAUCUUUGCUAUGAGAUGGAGAUGAUAUUCGGCCAUGGGUGUUGUCUUCUUGGUUGGUGUUUGAUGUUGUGGUGAUGAGGCAUGAAGAUGAGUUAAGUUUCGGCUAAGGUGGACUCGUGUUGAUGUCAUUUGCAUGCUAAGUGUGAAGCUUUGUAAUGAUACAUGUGAUGGUGAUUGAUGACUCUUGGAUUUUCUUUUUAGCAUUUUUAAGUUAGACAUUAAGUUCUUUGUUUAACCCAUGACCAAAAUUGAAAUGGUAUGGUGUCUUGAUGCAUUCGGCCAUGGUAGGAAGUAGAUGAGAAUUGGUAGUAAGGUGAAGUGCAAAUGUUAGUACUUUAUUACUAGUGUAUAUAUGUGUAUUAGCCGAGUUUUGAACUUGAAACAAAAUGGUACGUAGUCAAUACAAGUAAGCAUAUUUGUAGGAAGUAUUAAGCAUAUAUCGGCCUCAACAUAGACAUGCUUAUUCGGCCACAUGAGGUAGAUUGGUGUUGCAUGUAUUCGGUUAGAGGCAAGCAUAUUGAUGCUUUUAUCUUGGCUUAGAUAAUCGGCUAAAAGAGAGUGUGGGCUAAUAUGUUGAGUUGAUUCAUGAUUUCAUAUAUAUGUGACUCUAAUGUCUAAUGUAUAUGUGGGCUAAGUACCUUGAGUUUCUCUUUUUGAUGUUCAAAUGAUUAAAUCAAUUUAUUUGUUAAAUUAAGGUCAAGAGCAAAGGGGAACUAAAUCCGAUAAAGGGAAGGAAAAAGUGAUCGAAUAGCCGUCGAAAUUGUUCGACAACAUCCGAGGUAAGUUUUCAAGUAAUGAAACUUAGUUUACGAUUUGAUUAAGUCAUGACGUAUAAUCAUAACAAAUAUACGGUGAUAUAAUGAUUCUACUUGAAUUAUAUGUUGAGUUAAUUAGUCUAUACGUAUGAUGGGUAGCCGUAUGUGCAUAGAGAUCAUGUCAUAAAGCAAACCAAAUCAUGCUGUUUGUAUGUGGCUAUUGAGCUGAAAAUGGGAAUGCUUAAUAAUUGACUUGUGUUUGAAUUCUAGUUAUGAAAAUGAAAUAAAUGUGUCAUGAUUUACUGAUAUGUGCAUGAAUAUUCGGAUGAUAACGGGGCUAAGUCCCGAAGGCAUUUGUGCUAGUGACUAAUUCCGGGCUAAGUCCCGAAGGCAUUUGUGCGAGUUACUAUAUCCGGGCUAAGUCCCGAAGGCAUUUGUGCGAGUUAAUAUAUCCGGGCUAAGUCCCGAAGGCAUUUGUGUGAGUUACUAUAACCGGGCUAAGUCCCGAAGGCAUUUGUGCAAGUUACUAUAACCGGGCUAAGUCCCGAAGGCAUUUGAGCAAGUAGCUAUAUCCGGCUAAAUUCCGAAGGUACUUGGCUUGGGAAUGAGCGAUCUUGCUAUAAUAAUUUCAAUUAAUACGCUCGUAAAAUUCCAACGAUGAGGUACGUUUUGUAUAUGCAUUGGAGUAUUUGAUUCCUUUUAAAUAUUAUUCGCUCAGUCAAUUAAUGAGCUUCCGGCCUUUGGUUAAGUUGAUCCCUUAUGUGUGAAUAUAAGGGUUGGAAAUGUGAAGUAGGACUGAAUCUUGAGAAUAUGUGUAUAUGAAAUUGUCCGUUUAGUUAUAUGAAUGCUAUACUUCAGUUGUGCCUAAUUUCAUUGCUCAAAACUUACUAAGCAUUAAAUGCUUAUUCCGUUUCUUUGAUUCUCUGUUUUAUAGAUUUUGGUUCGUCAGCUAUCAGACUCGGGAUUGUCAAAGUCGAAGUCGUCCACACUAUCAAAGCCCUUUUGGUACUCUUUUAGUUGAACUCUGCUAAUGGCAUGUAUAGGACUGCCCUUGUGUUAUUAGUCAAGUACUUUGGUGUUGUAUAUAUUUGGAUAGCCAUGCGAAAAUGGCUUAUAUAUUUUGAGCAUAGUGUUAUAAUCAUUUUGUAUGUAUAUGGUUAUUGAGAGGUGUGGAUAUGCUUGGCAAUGAUUGGCCAUUGGAAUGGUUAAUCAUGAUCAUAUUUUGUGCUAUAUAUGCUAAAGGGCUAGUUGAAUCAUGGAAACUAUGAAAUAGGUAAAGUCUACCUUAAAGGCAGAUGCUGACAGCAGCAGUGAUGUAAAUUUGAAAAAUAACUAAAAAUAGUAGGAAAGUAAUUAAAUAGUGAAUAAAUUAUUUAAUCGAACCUUUAUGAAUCUACUUUCAUAUGGAAGAAACGAAACGAUCAUAUGAGUCGUAUUUUAAGAGAUAUUUAAGUUUUCGUGGAAUAGGGCCAGAGCAAUUUCUGGAUCCCCUGAUCUGACUUUGGAAAUUCACUAUAAAUUAACCAGAGAUAAUUAGAGGUCAUGCCAUAUAUGUAUAGAUUCCUUUUUGAGUCUAGUUUCGUUAGAAACAAAUAUCAUAAAUAUUGAAUCCCUGUACAGGGAGAUAUAUAAGUCGUAAUGCAUAAAGGUUAGAGCAGUCAAACCCUGAAACAGAGGAGACUUUAACUAAUAAACUGUACUAAUUGGCCUAAUUAAAAAUUCUUGAAAACAAUUUGUAGAUGGAUAUAUGAGUCUAGUUUCAGGGAAAGUUUAAGGAAUCAGUUUUCGAGCUUCGGAACUCGAGAUAUGAUUUUUAAAGUGACAGUGAUGCAAUUAGCCAGCUUGUCUGAAAAAAAAUGAACUGUGUAAGUCAUUGAAAUAAGUCCGUAAAUACCUCGUGUUCGACUCCGGCAACGGUCUCGGGUACGGGGUGUUACAACAUCCAUGGAAAUAAGUAAACGUGUGAUCAUAUAUUGGAUAAACAAAUCUCUGAACUCCCACAAAUCAAAUAUAGUCCUCCGAAUUGAGUGGGCCAAAGCCACAAGCUCUCUUAUAAUGCCUCAAAUAAUCUGAUUAGUGGAAACUCAAGCUCAAAACUCCCUUAUCUACUCCAAAAAAAUUAGUCCACCAAGAGCCAUAUACUCACAAUAUCCCAAAUAAUGGUAAGUAUUCACAAGUCCUAUUGCAUGUAAACUAUAUCCAACAGAUCUACCAUGAAAUGUUUCCAAUAUAAUCAUACAUACAAGGCAUAAAAUCUAUUAUUUAAUCACUUAAUUUAGGAUGUUUAAAUGCAAGUAAAAGCAUGUUGCUAAGCAAUUUUAAUAUCAAAAAAAUUAAGCAUAGCAAAUAUCAUUUUCCCAAUAUUCAUAUACCCAUUAGAACACCUUUAUCAAAUGUUUAAUAAAUUAGCAAUUCAUGCUUAAAAUAUCAAUUUAUUUCAUACAAUUUAAUCAUGUUAAAAGCAUAAUACACAACUUACCAAACCAAUUGCCAUUUUGCUCUUUUAUAAAAUAAAACCUAUUUCUGCAAAUCUAACCAUCCAAUAUGCAAUUAAGUCAUUAAUAAAACCAAUUAAACCUUUAAUUUAACAUAUAAUUAGGCCAAUUUACCAAAUUUCCAUUAAUGUCACUCACCUCUACACUUAGCUCUUUAAGCAAAAAUGUGUUCAAACAAGCAAGUUUGAGCUUCAAUUUUGAUUUGCAUGUUCCUCCUCUUGAUGUGGAGCUUUAACAGAGACAAAGUAUGCAUUACAAACUAACAAUAGCAAUAAGAAACAUGAAAUUUGAUGAAGUAUAAGAAUUUAAAUAAUUGCUCUAAACUACCUUAUCGAUGUUGCACAACUAAGUCGAAAUAUGGAAUUCCUGAACUAAACUCCCAUUUCAGCACCUCAAACCACUUCUAAUCUUCAUUCCUAGUCCAAUAACAUGUAUUCUAAGUGUUAAUUUCAUCAUUUAAUUUGUUUCUUUAUUUUUCAAAAAAAUCAUCCAUGUUCUUGAUCUAAUUUGAAUUUCUCAAAAUUGAUCCAUAAAACGUGUUUGAUCUUUUGGUUUAAGAUUAAAAACCUCUUAUUAGACCGAUUUUGAUCUUAGAAAUCCAUUAAUAUUCAAAUUCCAACUCAAAAUUAAAGAUCCACCAUUGUUGAUCCUCAAGUUUAAGAAAGAAGAAAUUAAAGUUGAAAAUCCAUUAUAAUCACUUUAAUUAGCAAAUAAUGAUUGAAAUCAACUUAAAAACAAGUUUAGAGAUGAGGAUUACCUUCAAUUGAACUCAAAUCAUUGAUUUGGAAAUUUGGAUCAAAAUGCUUGAAGAAAUUCGGAUGACUUUUUGCCCAACUAUGAAAAUUAUUUUGAGAUAUUUUAGAGAGAACUUUAGGAGAGAAAUGGUUUUGAUCUAUUCUCCGAUAUUUGGUUUAUGAAAACAAGAAAAAAAAAUAAAUGAAAAAGCUCUCAAUUCGGGUGAAAAAUGAGUGAAAAGUGAGGUAGUUGCAAAGUUUUUAAAACUAAAAACACCCACCUGAUUUUCAAAAUUUGGGGAAUUUGCCAUCAGGCCACUCCCCGUUUUCCUUAUUUUACAAUUUGCUCAUUUCCUUCCAAAAUUCUAAAAAUAUGGUUUAUUUUCUAUAAAAACUCUGACACAUUUCCCUUGUUUGUCAAAUUAGUCCUAUUUAAUUAAUAUUUUAAACCACCCAAUUAAACCCUCAUUUUAAAUUAUUUUUAAAUUCCAAUUUAACCCAAAAUAUUUAUUUUUACCCAAAAAUUAUUUAAAACCAUAAAAUUAAUUUUUCUAAAAAAAUUUUUAUUUUUCAAAACAUUGUUUACCGAUUUUUAGAUUAAAUUAAGCUAACUAAUUAAGAAUAUAAAUUUCUAAUUAAUUCGAUUAAUUCCUAAUUUUCACUCGGAAGCCGGUAAACUUACCCAAAACUACUAGAUCUAUUUUUGGGGCCGUACAAGUUACACUUUUCUUUUACAAAACAUUUAUAUAAAAUUUAACCCCUAGUACCUACCACAUGACCGGAAUAAACAAUUAAAAAUCUAUCAAAUAGAAGUUGGAUAAUGUAAGCUUCAAGCUUAUCCGAUCAUCGAGUUCCUCAAAAUGAUAACUACAAGAAAUAGGAAAAAGAAAUAGAGUAAGCUUCAAUUGAGAUUAGUAAGUUCAUAUGAAAAUUUAACUUAACAUACCUUAUCAUUAUAACAAUUUAAGUAUUUGAACUCAAAAACACAAAAUGACAUAUUCUUGGUAUCCCUACUCUUUCAUAUACAACUCCACAAAACAACCAAUAAGUUAGUAUUAAACAUAACAAGAUCAUAACCUUUGAAUACAUAUACAUGUAUAACCAAACUAUUUUACGUCAUACCAUUCAACCUUGCUCGGUGUGUAACAUAUCAAUAGAAUCCACCUACGAGACAUGUUCAUUUUGCAACGUGAUAAUGAAAUUCAUGUUCAAUCCUUCCAACCAUUUCAUGUUUCUUUAUUUAUCAUUUUCACCCAAAGAAAUAUAUUAAUUUAACUUCAGAUAUACAUAAUUACUUAGCUUCCAUGAGCUUUAGAGUUGAUUUAUUUAAACAAGCUUUAUUUGAUGCUGCUCACCCAAGUUGUCGAGUAUAUGUAACACGUGCAAGAUCUCAGUCAUCGAUAAAGUAUAAUGUGAUGCUGCUCACUCAAGCUGUCGAGAAGCUACAACACAUGCUGGAUCUGAUUCAUCACUAAAUAAUAAUCCAAGGUUGCUCACUCAAGUUGUCGAGAAUUCGCAAUUUAUGUUGGAUCUCAACUAUCACAGAUCUUUGUAUAAUAAUUUGAUGUUGCUCACCCAAGCUGUCAAGAAUCCACAAGUUAUGCUGGAUUUCAUCCAUCAAAUAAAUCUCUAAUCACGACUCCCAUUUUUCCUCUUUUGAACCCAAAUGACUUUUUCAUUCGUAUCUAAACCAUUUAUUAAAUUCAUACAGGUUUUUUACCAAUUCCAUAUCAUUUCAAAACCUUUUAUCCAUAUACACAUUUCACAUUUCGAAUGAUAGUUCUCUAUACAUUUUAAACUUGAAAAAUCAUCAUAUACAUGCUAUCCAAUCACAUACCAUUUCCACAUCCAUUCAAUGUUGUAACAGCUCAUUUUCAGCAAAAUCAAAACAGUGAUUUUAGGACCACAAAUUUGAUGAGUAAAUAUUUAUUUUAUUAUUAUUUUAAUUUGUUUUGGAAUACUAAUAAGGUUUUUAAAAAAAUCGUUAAGAAAUUUUAACGUUUGCAUCCUUAAUUAAGUAAAAAGGACUAAAUCGUAAAAGGUGCAAAAGCAAAGUUCUAGUAGUUAAAGGUAUCAAAUGGCUAUGAAGCUUUAAUGUGAAAGGACUUAGAUGGUAAUUAGAUCAUUAAUGAAUUUAGUGGAUGUAUAUGGCUAAGUAUUAAUGAAAUUUUGAUGUUAAAUGAAGGUUAAGUUAGUAAAUUAAUAAAUUAGUUAAAGUUAAAAUAAAAUAAACAAAAGCAUCAUCGUCCUAAGCGUUCAUCCAACAAAAUUUUGAAGGGAGAAAAUCCAUAGCUAAGGUUUCAUGGUUCGGUCACUUUGCUAGCUUGCAUGUAAGUGAAAUUUGUCUUAUUUUUUAAUGAUUUUUAUGUUUUUGAAAUCAUUGUAGCUUAAUCUAGCUAGCCUAGGGACUAAUUUGCAAAAAUAUUAAAGAAUUAGCAUUUUUCCAUGAACAUGUUUGCAUGAUUCUUGAAUUUUAAUGAAAUAUUAUGAGUCUUUGUUAAUAAAUAACCAAGUUUUGUAAAGUGAUUUUUUAUGAAAAUGUCAUUUAGGGAUUUAUUUGUAAAAGUAGUAAACUAUCAUGCUUAAAUUGUGAAAUGAUGUUUUGUAUGAGUUGAUAUGGGUUCAUAAUAAAUUCAGCUAGCAUGAGUUAAGGAUGAAAAUGCUUAUAUUUCAAUUUGUUAGUUUAAAGACUAAAUUGUAAAAAGGUUAAAAUGUUAGGGACAAAAUUGUAAUUAUGUAUAUAUGUGGAUUAUGGAUUGAAUUAAAUGUUUGAGAUUGAUUGAAACAUUUAAUUGAAUAUAAUUAUUUAUUUAGAUCAAGAUAAAUCUUAAUCGAAUUUAAACCAGGAAAAGGUGAAAAUUACGGAUUAGCUCGAUUGUAAUUUUACGCUCUAGUUGUUAAUGUAAGUUCAUAGUAAUUCUAUACAUAAAUGAACUUUUACUUGCAUGUUUACAAUAUAGUUAUGUAAUUAAUUGCUUAUACUUAAUUAUUCUUUGAAUUUCACAUACAUGCCCUUGUUUGUACUUUGAUACCCCUGAAUUGCACAUAUGUGCCCCUGUUUCUACUUUGAUACCACUGAACUGCACAUAUAUGCCCCUGUUUGUACUUUGAUACCCCUGAAUUGAACAUACGUGCCCUUAUUUGUACUUCGGUACCCCUGAAUAGCACCUACUUGCCCCUGUUUACACUCCGGCAACAUUGAAUCGAGUAAAAUAUGAGUUGUAUUCAAUUUUUGUCAAGUUUAGUGAUAAACUAUGCUCUUACUAAGCUUUAAAAGCUUAUUCAUUUUUUUGGUGAAUUAUUUUGUAGAUUGUUUUUGCUUACAUUUGGACGGAUCGAAUCUACGAAUCACACUAUCAUUUGAUGUUGGUAGUUCUUGUAUUCCUUAGGGUCGUGGCUAUAUAGGUUAUUUUGGUACAAUAUGACAAUAUACUAACCAAGUUGAUAGGCAUCUUUUUGCAUAGUUAAAAUGGUAUGAAAUUGCACACUUGUGAAAUGUUUUGGUUUAUGAGUAAAUUAAGUGUUAUGAUAGAAAUGGAUCAAUGUUUAUAUGUUUUAAAUGUUAAUGUUGAAUUUAACUAUAGUGUCUAUGAAGGCACAUUGGUUGGUUGUUUUUAGGUCAUUAAAAUGGUAUGUUAUGUCAUGUUAAGUUGCUUGUGAUCUCAAUUGUGGUAUGCUUCAAGAUGAUAUUAAAUUGGUAGUGUAUGUUUUUAGUGUAGUGAUGCAUAUGUUUAAGUAAGGUUGUUUGUUUCUAAUUGAGGUUCCUUACAUGUCAUAUUGGUUGAAUGAAUAUUGGUCAUUUGAACUAGUCAUUUUAAGCAUGUUUUGGUAUGUUUUUAAUGCCUUGGUCAUAAGGGUAAAUUGCUUAUAGGUACACUUUUGGCUUGGUGAUGGAAAUGGCUUGAUUUUGGCUAAUUUCUUAUCUACACGGCCUAAGACACGAGCGUGUGUCUCAGCCGUGUGUCCCCUGUAGGUUUUAAAGGUUGCAAGUUAGGAAAUUACACGGCCUAGCACAUGGCCUGACACAUGGGUGUGUGGCUUGGCCAUGUGACCCUACUUAGAGAGUUACUCAAGCACAAACAUGGGCUGAGACACGGCCGUGUGUCCCUAUUUCGAUUGUUACACGGCCUACACGGGCGUGUGUCACACGGCCGUGUGACCCCUACAGUUUAAUUUUUUCUAACUUUUUUGUCAAUAUUUCAAAUGUUUCUGAUUUAGUCCCAAUUCAUUUCUAAAGUGUUUCUAAUGUCUCGAGGGCCCAAUUAAGGGAUGAUAUGCACGUAUAUGAAUGGAUUAUGUUAUGUUUUUAUUAAUGCUUGGAAAUGUAUGGUUUUUAUGUUUCAUUUAUACGGUAAUGCUUUGUAACCCUAUUCUGAUGAUGAAUACGGAUUAGGGGUGUUACAUUUAAUGGUAACAGAGCUACGAUUUAAUCGAUUCUAGGAUUAACAUAGCGAAGUAUGUAACACCCCCAUGCCCGAGACCAUCACCGGAGUCGAGCUUGAGGGGUUACCGAACAUAAUUUAUCAAUUUAAGAACUUCAAAUCAUUUGUUUCUACAUUCACAGCUUUCUAGCUACUCGCGUCACAGUUACAAGAAAAAUCAUAACUCGAGUUAUGAAACUCAAAAUCAAGAUCCGUAAAUUUUCCCUAAAUCUAGACUCAUAUAUCUAUUUACUAAUUGUUUUCUAGAAUUUUUGGUUUGGUCCAAUUAGUACAGUUUAUUAGUUAAAUUCUCCCCUAUUUCAGGGUUCGACUACUCUGACAUAUGUGUAUUACGAAUCAGAUAUCUCUCUAUACAGAAAUUAAAUGACUACAAGGUUUGUUUUUAUUAAAACUAGACUCAAUAAGAAAUCUGUAAAUAUAAAUAACAACUUCUAAUUAUUUUUUUAAAAUUUAGUAUGAAUUUUUAAAGUCAGAAAAGGGGAUCCAAAAAUCACUCUGGCCCUGUUUCACAAAAGUUUAAAUAUCUCAUAAAAUAUAACUUAUAUGCCUGUUUUGUUCAAUCCACAUGAAAAUAGACUCAUUAAGCUUAAAUUUCAUAACUUACUCAUUAUUUAGUUCUAUUUAUACUAUUUUUAGUGAUUUUUCAAAUUCAUGUCAUUGCUGCAGCAAUAUUCUGUUUUAAGGCAAGUUUCAUCUUUCCAUGAAUUUUUAUGAACUAGAUAACCUAUUAAACUUCCAUAAUAUCAAACAUGAUCUAAAUUUAACCAUCACCAUGACUUAUCAAUAUCAAACAUUUUCUCAACCAAUCAUGGCUAUAUCAUAAAAUUAUUUACACAAAAUAGGUAUAUUGCUAUACAUGCCAUACUUAAGUUUUACAAGCCAUUUACCCAGAUGAAAGUCCUUUAGAUAGUGUGAUCGAACCUUUGACCCGUCCCGAUUCCCGAGCUGGCUUGUUCAAAACUACAGUAAAUAAAGAGGAGGGAGUAAGCAUAAAUGCUUAGUAAGUUCAUAUGUAAAUAACAAGUAACAUAACAAUACAAAUAUACCAAACAACUUUAGCACGGUAUCACCAAAACAUAUGUCAUAUUUCUAAAUAUCAUUCAUCAUCUUACCACCUUAUCGUUGUUGUAUCUAUUAUCAACCCGAGGAUUAAGAACAUACCUGUCCAAAGUGUCCAUUUCACAACACUUACCAAUACGUCGCUUGCAUCUUAAGUGUUCUUUCAUUUCACUAGAAAUUUCUCCCGUUGAACACAUUGGACUACAACUCGGAUACACGGAUAAUUUGCACAUAAGUGCCUCAUAUGUAAUCAAGAAAUCAUGUAAUCCGCCCCUAAUUGAACUCGGACUCAACUCAACGAGCUUGGGCGUUCGCAUCCAUAAGUGAACUCGGACUCAACUCAACGAGUUCGGAUGCCUAGUUACAUUUCACGAACUCGGACUCAACUCAAUGAGUUCGGAUGCUCAACCAUCCUAGUGACAUGUCACUUGUAUCCUAAUCUAUUCCUAAGGUUCAAACAGGAUUUUCCUCGAACACAUAUCCUUGCCAUCUUCCGUAAAAUACCAAAACCAAUACUCGGUAGUACUUUAUAUUUAACAAUUAAUACACAUAAUUUGCAUUUUAUUCGAAAAUAGCCACAAAGCAUAUAUUUCAUAAUAAAAAUCAGCAUAUCAUAUAAUUAACAUCAAUAACUUAAAAAUAACAAUUAUGCUACAUUAUUUACACAUGAACUUACCUUGGUACCAAAAUAUAAAGAUUUUGCAAUUUAGUCCACAAUCUUUUCUCUUCCUCGAUCACGACUUGAAUCUCGUUUCUCUUGAUCUAUAAUGCCAAAUUAAUCUUAUUUAAUACAUACAUUCAUCAAAACAGCAUUUAAUAUGAACUUUGGAAAAAUUACACUUUUGCCCUUAAACUUUUGCAUAAUUACACUUUUGCCCCUAGGCUCGGGAAUUAAACUUUAUUCCUUAUUCUUAUGUUUUAUAACAUUCUGAUCAUUUUUCCCUUCUAUGGCAACAUCAAAUACUUACUCUAACAUAUACUUGUGACUAUUAGGUAUUUUUGCCGAUUAAGCCCUUUUACUCAUUUUCACUCAAAACCGAGUAUCACAAGUUGCCUAACAUAAUUUAAAACCCCAUAUUCUAUCAUAAAACAUCAAAAUACACAAAUUUCACCUAUGGGUAUUUUUCCAAAUAUAAACCCUAGGUUGAAUUAUUGCUAACAUAAGCUUAAUCGAGCUAUCGGGAUUCCAAAAACGUAAAGAACAUUAAAAACGGGGCUUGGAAUCACUUACUAUAGAGCUUGGAAGCUUGAAACAAACCCUAACUAUGGAGAACCCUUGAAAUUUCGGCCUAAUGAAGAAGAUGGACAAAAUUUGGCUUUUAAUUUUGUUUUUAAUUCAUUUUAAUAACUAAAUGACCAAAAUGCCCUUACUAGUAAACUUUCCAAAAAUUCCAUCCAUGUCCAAUUUUUGUCCAUAGACUUAGAAAUUGGUAAAAUUCUAUUUAAGACCUCCUAAUUAAUAUUUCAAUGCAAUUUCAUACUAAAAACUUCUAGAAUGCAAAUUUUGCAACUUAUUCGAUUUAGUCCCUACUUUCAAUUUAAGCAUUUUAGGCAUAGAAUUUCAUCACGAAAUUUUCACACAAUCAUGCAAUCAUAUCAUAUUCAUCAAAAUAAUUAUAAAAUAAUUAUUUCUAUCUCGAAUUUGUGAUCACGAAACCACUAUUCCGAUUAAGCCCUAACUCAGGAUAUUACAACUCUCCCCCUCUUUUAAGGAUUUUCGUCCUCGAAAAUCUUACCGGUAAAUAGGUGUGGGUAUUGGUUUUUCAUAGUUUCUUCAGGUUCCCAUGUAGUCUCUUCUACCCCAUUCUUUUGCUUUCUUAGUUGUUUGACUUCUCGAGCUAAAAUCUUAAUCGAUUCUUCUUCAUAAGUCAUAUCCGAUCGUAGUUCAACUUCUGUCGGUGAAAUUAUAUGUGAAGGAUCCGAACGAUACCGGCGUAACAUAGAUACGUGAAACACAUCAUGAAUCUUCUCUAAUUCGGGUGGUAACGCUAGCCGAUAUGCUACCGGUCCAACUUUUUCAAUUAUUUCAUACGGUCUAAUAAAACGCGGACUUAACUUGCCCUUUCGUCCAAAUCUAAGGACUUUCUUCCAUGGAGACACUUUCAAAAAUACCUUAUCACCAACUUGAAACUCCAUUUCUUUUCGUUUCAAAUCUACAUAAGAUUUCUAUCUAUCUGAAGUAGCUUUCAAACAAUCUCGAAUCACUUUCACCUUUUCUUCGGUUUCUUUUAUUAAAUCAACUCCAUAAAUCUGAUUUUCCUUGAGUUCAGUCCAAUACAAUGGUGUCCGACAUUUAUGACCAUAUAAUGCUUCAUAAGGUGCCAUCUUCAAACUCGUCUGAUAACUAUUAUUAUAAGCAAAUUCUACCAAUGGUAAGUACCUUUCCCAACUAUCUUGAAAUUCCAAUACGCAACAUCUGAGCAUGUCUUCAAGAAUCAGAAUUACUCUCUCUGAUUGUCCAUCAGUUUGUGGAUGAAAGGCAGUGCUGAAAUUUAACUUUGUACCUAAUGCCUCUUGCAACUUUUGCCAAAACCGUGAGGUAAACCUCGGAUCUCUAUCCGAAAUGAUUGACAAAGGUAUCCCAUGAAGUCUAACAAUCUCUCGGAUAUACAAUUCAGCCAACUUAUUAAGAGAAUAAUCUGUACGUACCGGAAUAAAAUGAGUCGAUUUAGUCAGUCUGUCAACUAUUACCCAGAUGGCAUUUUUCUUCCUUGGAGUUAACGGCAACCCUGAUAUAAAAUCCAUAGUAAUCCUAUCCCAUUUCCAUUCAGGAACCAUAAUAGGCUGAAGUAAUCGCGAAGGUACUUGGUGUUCAGCUUUCACUUGUUGACAAACUAAGCACUUUGAUACAAACUCGGAAAUAUCUCUUUUCAUUCCACUCCACCAGUACAUUUUCUUUAAGUCAUUAUACAUCUUCGUACUGCCCGGAUGAACCGCCAAACAACUAUUAUGUGCUUCAUGCAAAAUCUUUUGAAUCAACUCAUCAUUUUUCGGUACACAAAUCCGAUUUUUAAACAUCAAACAACCAUCAGAACUGAUUCUAAAAUCUGAUCCCGUAUCAGCUUCACACUGUUUUCUUUUGGCUAGCAAAUCUUGAUCAUUUUUUUGAGCUUCAGAAAUCUCUUGUAAAAACAUCGGUCUUGCUCUUAACUCUGCUAGAAUCGAACCGUCAUCUGAAAUUUUCAACUAAGCGUUCAUAACUCUCAAAGCAAACAACAACUUUCUGCUUAAAGCAUCGGCAACCACAUUCGCUUUUCCCGGAUGAUAAUCAAUAACAAGCUCGUAAUCUUUCAAUAACUCUAACCAUCUUUGCUGUCUCAAAUUCAAGCCUUUUUGUGACAUCAAGUAUUUAAGACUUUUGUGAUCGGUAUAUACUCGGCACUUUUCACCAUACAAAUAAUGUCGCCAAAUCUUCAAAGCAAACACCACUGCAGCCAAUUCCAAAUCGUAAGUAGGAUAAUUCCUCUCAUGAGGUUUUAACUGCCUCGAAGCAUAUGCCACCACUUUUCCUUCUUGCAUGAGUACACACCCCAAACCAUUUAGAGAAGCAUCACUAUACACCACAAAUUCUUUACCUGAUUUGGGUUGUAUCAACACUGGUGCUUCAGUUAAUAACUUUUUCAAUUCUUUGAAACUCUGUUGGCAUUCUUCCGUCCAUUCAAAUUUAACAUCCUUUCGGAGUAGUCUAGUCAUAGGAGCAGCAAUUAUAGAAAAUUCAUUUACAAACCGCCGAUAAUACCCAGCUAGCCCCAAGAAACUCCUAACUUCAGUUACAUUUUUCGGUGGUUUCCAAUCAACAAUGGCUGAAAUUUUACUAGGAUCAACCCGUAUACCAUCACCUGAAACAAUAUGACCCAAAAAUCAAACUUCCUGGAGCCAAAAUUCACUUUUACUAAACUUAGCAUACAGUUGCUUAUCUCUCAAAGUUUGCAAAACUAUCCUCAAAUGCUCAGCAUGCUCUGUCUCAUCUUUUGAAUAAAUUAAAAUAUCAUCUAUAAACACCACAACAAAUCUGUCCGGGUAUGGCCGAAAUAUGCGAUUCAUUAAGUCCAUAAACAUAGCAGGAGCAUUUGUCAACCCGAAUGGCAUAACUAAAAAUUCAUAAUGACCGUACCUUGUUCUAAAAGUUGUUUUAGGCACAUCUGACUCUUUAACUCGCAGUUGAUAAUACCCAGAUCUCAAGUCAAUCUUUGAAAACCAUGUCGCUCCUUUUAGCUGAUCAAACAAAUCAUCAAUUCUCGACAAUGGAUACUUGUUUUUGAUUGUCACCUUGUUUAACUGUCGAUAAUCAACACAUAAUUUCAUAGAACCAUCCUUCUUUUUCACAAAUAACAGGAGAGCGCCCCAAGGUGAAAAACUUGGUCUCACAAAGCCUUUAUCAGUCAACUCUUGCAACUGCGACUUUAAUUCUUUCAACUCUGUUGGUGCCAUUCUAUAUGGAGCAAUCGAGAUUGGAGUUGUUCCCGGUAUCAAAUUUAUACCAAAUUCUACUUCCCUGACUGGAGGCAAACCUGACAAUUCUUCUAGAAAUACAUCCGCAAAUUCACACACAACCGGCAUUGAUUCAACUUUCUUUUCAACUUCUUUUGUAUUAAUUACAUACGCCAAAUAAGCUUCAUAACCCUUUCUCAAAUAUCUCUGAUCCGACAUCAAAGAAAUCAUACUAAAUAUUACCUCUGAUUUGUCUGGUUCAACCCGCAAGAUUUCACCACUUUCACAUUUUAAUUCUAUAACCUUUUCUUUGCAAUUUACUAUAGCAUCAUGCAAUGUCAACCAAUCCAUACCCAAAAUAACAUCAAAUUCAUCAAACGGAAACAACAUCAAGUCGGCCGGAAAGUAAUGACCCCGAAUCAUUAAAGGGCAUUUCUUGCAUACUUUAUCAACUAUCAUGCAUUUGCCUAACGGGUUCGACACUCUAAUCAUAAAUUCUGUGUUCUCAACAGGUAUAUUCAUACUAGACACCAGUUUCAUGCAUACAUAUGAAUGAGUAGAACCGGGAUCAAUCAAAGCAAUAACAAUAGUAUCAUAAAGAGAAAAUGUACCGGUAAUCACAUCGGGUGAGGAAGCAUCUUCACGCGCUUUAAUAGCAUAAGUUCUAGCCGGAGCUCUUCCUUCAGAUCUAACUGCUGCAUCUCUGGCUACAUUCUUACUGCUUGUUUCACUUCCAGCUUUUCUCGGAUGCCUUCCCCUCAUGUCUACACCACUAACUUUUACAUUCUGAAAAUUUUCUUUCUCAGCUCUCUCUGGGCAGUCUCUAAUAAAAUGAUCCGGAGAACCACAUCGAAAACAUUCAUUUGCUCUGCACGGACCAAAAUGAUUUCUACCACACCGCUGGCACUCAAGUUUAAAAAAUCUUGUAUUUCCCACACUAGCCGCAGAAGUAGUCUGAGAUUUAGGACCCACAUUUCGCUUCUUAAAAUUUCCAUAUGAUUGCCCAGCUGAAACUUGGGAACGAGGAUUCAUAUUUCUUGACUUUCCGGUUUACUGUGAGGGUGCAUUACUCAUUGGUCUUUUCUUCCAAUUUCGUGUUUUAGAUUCUACCUUUUUCUUUUCCUUCAGUAGUUCUUCAGCCUUGCAAGCUCGAUCGACAAGUACCACCAUUUCUUUUAGUUCAAGGAUCCUAACAAAUACCUUAAUGUCUUCGUUAAGUCCAUCUUCAAAUCGUCGGCACACCUUGGCUUCUGUAGGAACAUAUUCCCUGGCAUACUUACUCAAUCGAACAAACUCUCUUUCAUAAUCUGAGACUGUCAUAUUACCUUGCUUCAGCUCAAGAAACUCUUUACAUUUCUGAUCAAUAAAUUUUUCACUAAUAUAUUUCUUUCGAAACUCUUCUUGAAAGAAUUCCCAGGUUACCCUCUCUUUCGGCACCACCGAAAUCAAAGUCUUCCACCAAUUAUAGGCUGAAUCUCUCAACAAAGAUGUAUUACAUUUCAAACAUUCUUCAGGUGUACAAGAUAAUUCAUCAAAUACCCGGAUAGAAUUUUCAAGCCAGAACUCUGCUUUCUCUGCAUCAUCAUCAAUAUUUGCUCUAAAUUCUUCAGCCCCUUGUUUACGAAUUCUAUCAACGGGGGUUCUGUGAAAUUUUAUCAUAUCCACUCCUUGAGGCAUUGGAGGCAUAGGUUGAGGAAUUGGGGGAGAUGGGGGAGGUCGUACAUUUGGGUUCGUACGAACGAACUCAGUGUACCAUGCACUCAUCAUUUGGAGAAAGGCUUCCCGAUCCCUUUCUCCUCCUCCCUGCCAACAGUAGGGGGUUGGUUUUCAGUCGGCGCUGCCCCUUCAGCCAGAGCUGGCGCAUUACUCUCUACUUCAUCUGCCACAGCAGGAUCGGGAUCCAUUUACUAUAUAAAAAUCAUUUAAAAAGGUCAGAAGUCGUCACACUAUCACAAUUCAUACAUAUGGCAUGUAUAGCAAAAUCCGUACAUACAACAAGUAGUCCAAGAACCGACUAAACCUGCUCUGAUACCACCAAAUGUAACGCCCCCACGCCCGAGACCAUCACUGGAGUCAAGCUUGAGGGGUUACCGAACAUAAUUUAUCAAUUUAAGAACUUCAAAUCAUUUGUUUCUACAUUCACAACUUUCUAGCUACUCGCGUCACAAUUACAAGAAAAAUCAUAACCCGAGUUAUGAAACUCAAAAUCAAGAUCCGUAAAUUUUCCCUAAAUCUAGACUCAUAUAUCUAUUUACUAAUUUUUUUCUAGAAUUUUUGGUUUGGUCCAAUUAGUACAGUUUAUUAGUUAAAAUCUCCCCUAUUUUAGGGUUCGACUGCUCUGACAUAUGUGUAUUACAAAUCAGAUAUCUCUCUAUACAGAAAUUCAAUGACUACAAGGUUUGUUUUUAUUAAAACUAGACUCAAUAAGAAAUCUGUAAAUAUAAAUAACAACUUCUAAUUAUUUUUUUAAAAUUUAUUAUGAAUUUUUAACGUCAGAAAAGGGGAUCCAGAAAUCACUCUGGCCCUGUUUCACAAAAGUUUAAAUAUCUCAUAAAAUAUAACUUAUAUGCCUGUUUUGUUCAAUCCACUUGAAAAUAGACUCAUUGAGCUUAAAUUUCAUAACUUACUCAUUAUUUAGUUCCAUUUAUACUAUUUUUAGUGAUUUUUCAAAUUCAUGUCAUUGCUGCAACAAUAUUCUGUUUUAAAGCAAGUUUCAUCUUUCCAUGAAUUUUUAUGAACUAGAUAACCUAUUAAACUUCCAUAAUAUCAAACAUGAUCUAAAUUUAACCAUCACCAUGACUUAUCAAUAUCAAACAUUUUCUCAACCAAUCAUGGCUAUAUCAUAAAAUUAUUUACACAAAAUAGGUAUAUUGCUAUACAUGCCAUACUUAAGUUUUACAAGCCAUUUACCCAGAUGAAAGUCCUUUAGAUAGUGUGAUCGAACCUUCGACCCGUCCCGAUUCCCGAGCUGGCUUGUUCAAAACUACAGUAAAUAAAGAGGAGGGAGUAAGCAUAAAUGCUUAGUAAGUUCAUAUGUAAAUAACAAGUAACAUAACAAUACAAAUAUACCAAACAACUUUAGCACGGUAUCACCGAAACAUAUGUCAUAUUUCUAAACAUCAUUCAUCAUCUUACCACCUUAUCGUUGUUGUAUCUAUUAUCAACCCGAGGGUUAAGAACAUACCUGUCCAAAGUGUCCAUUUCACAACACUUACCAAUACGUCGCUUGCAUCUUAAGUGUUCUUUCAUUUCACUAGAAAUUUCACUCGUUGAACACAUCGGAAUACAACUCGGAUACACGGAUAAUUUGCACAUAAGUGCCUCAUAUGUAAUCAAGAAAUCAUGUAACCCGCCCCUAAUUGAACUCGGACUCAACUCAACGAGCUCAGGCGUUCGCAUCCAUAAGUGAACUCGGACUCAACUCAACGAGUUCGGAUGCCUAGUUACAUUUCACGAACUCGGACUCAACUCAACGAGUUCAGAUGCUCAACCAUCCUAGUGACAUGUCACUUGUAUCCUAAUCUAUUCCUAAGGUUCAAACGGGAUUUUCCUCGAACACAUAUCCUUGCCAUCUUCCGUAAAAUACCAAAACCAAUACUCGGUAGUACUUUAUAUUUAACAAUUAAUACACAUAAUUUGCAUUUUAUUCGAAAAUAGCCACAAAGCAUAUAUUUCAUAAUAAAAAUCAGCAUAUCAUAUAAUUAACAUCAAUAACUUAAAAAUAACAAUUAUGCUACAUUAUUUACACAUGAACUUACCUUGGUACCAAAAUAUAAAGAUUUUGCAAUUUAGUCCACAAUCUUUUCUCUUCCUCGAUCACGACUUGAAUCUCGUUUCUCUUGAUCUAUAAUGCCAAAUUAAUCUUAUUUAAUACAUACAUUCAUCAAAACAGCAUUUAAUACGAACUUUGGAAAAAUUACACUUUUGCCCUUAAACUUUUGCAUAAUUACACUUUUGCCCCUAGGCUCGAGAAUUAAACUUUAUUCCUUAUUCUUAUGUUUUAUAACAUGCUGAUCAUUUUUCCCUUCUAUGGCAACAUCAAAUUCUUACUCUAACAUAUACUUGUGACUAUUAGGUAUUUUUGCCGAUUAAGCCCUUUUACUCGUUUUCACUCAAAACCGAGUAUCACAAGUUGCCUAACAUAAUUUAAAACCCCAUAUUCUAUCAUAAAACAUCAAAAUACACAAAUUUCACCUAUGGGUAAUUUUCCAAAUAUAAACCCUAGGUUGAAUUAUUGUUAACAUAAGCUUAAUCGAGCUAUCGGGAUUCCAAAAACGUAAAGAACAUUAAAAACGGGGCUUGGAAUCACUUACUAUAGAGCUUGGAAGCUUGAAACAAACCCUAACUAUGGAUAACCCUUGAAAUUUCGGCCUAAUGAAGAAGAUGGACAAAAUUUGGCUUUUAAUUUUGUUUUUAAUUCAUUUUAAUAACUAAAUGACCAAAAUGCCCUUACUAGUAAACUUUUCAAAAAUUCCAUCCAUGUCCAAUUUUUGUCCAUAGACUUAGAAAUUGGUCAAAUUCUAUUUAAGACCUCCUAAUUAAUAUUUCAAUGCAAUUUCAUACUAAAAACUUCUAGAAUGCAAAUUUUGCAACUUAUUCGAUUUAGUCCCUACUUUCAAUUUAAGCACUUUAGGCAUAGAAUUUCAUCACGAAAUUUUCACACAAUCAUGCAAUCAUAUCAUAUUCAUCAAAAUAAUUAUAAAAUAAUUAUUUCUAUCUCGAAUUUGUGAUCACGAAACCACUAUUCCGAUUAAGCCCUAAUUCAGGAUAUUACAAAGUAAGACUUAGAAUAUACAUCCCACAUAUACCUUGUGAUAGUGUGAUGCUUUUGAUUCGUUCUAACAUUUUGUUUCUUAUAGAUUCAAGAUGUCAGCUGAAUCAAAUCGAGCUAUAGUUAAUGAAAUUGAAAGUAAUGUUCAAGCUUUGAAUCCUGAGGCAAGCAAUAGUGCGUCUAUUCCCCAAUCUGUGGGUGAUGAGAUGAAAAAUGUAUUUCUUGGAAUGAUGAACCAAUGGUUCAACAAAUUUAAACAAGCAUAUCUUGCAACUCUACCACCUCUACCCUAUGUUGUGUCUUCUUCGACACCCUUGAAUACUCUAAACCUUGUACCUGUAAUGGUUACCCGGGUAUCUGUAAAAAAAAUUGGAAAUGUGGAAUAGAAGAGCUCGGAUGUGCGGUAGAUGAUGAUCCUUCAAAAGCUGAGUAUUGGUUAUUGAACACAAAGAGAGUUUUUACGAAGUUAUUGUGCACCCCUAAAGAUUGCUUCAGGAGUGUAGUGUCCUUACUAAAAGAUGAGGCGUAUCUAUGGUGGGAUACUUUAUGCUCGAUAGUAUCGAAUGAUCGGGUUAAUUAGACUUCUUUCAGCAUGAAUUCGAGAAAAAAGUAUGUUAAUCGAUUGUUCAUUGAUCGAAAAAAGAAAGUUUCUCGAGUUAAAACAAGAAAAUCAAACUGUAGCUAAGUAUGAAUGUGAGUUUGUGCAGUUAAGUAAGUAUGCUCAUAACAUUGUAUCAAAUGAGGAGGGAAUUUGUAUCAAAUUUGAAGAUGGUUUGAAUGAUGAGAUCCAUAUGCUUGUAACAGCAUUAAAGUUACCAGAAUUUGUAGAACUUUCAGAGCAGGCUCAGAAGGUUGAAGAGAUUUGUAAAAGCAAAUGACAUUCAAAUUUGAGAUUUCGAGAUUAUAACAAGAGAAGGUCAUUUAAGCCUGCUUAAACACCUUUGUAGGCAUAUUGUAUUGCAUUCAAAACACCAUUGGGGAUGUCACCUUUUAAGCUGGUUUGUGGGAAGCUUUGUCAUCUACCCGUUGAGCUGGAACAUAAAACAUUUUGGGCUAUUAAAAAGUUGAACAUAGAUUGGAUCACUAGUCGACAGAAAUGAUUAUUAGAGCUAAAUGAAAUGGAUAAAUUCUAAGCUCAGGCAUACGAGAAUGCUCAACUGUGUGAAGAAAAGACCAAGCAUUGGCAUGACAAAAGGAUUAUGCCACGACAAUUUGAACCCAGACAACAAGUGUUGUUAUUCAACUCUAUGCUCAAAUUGUUUCAGGGAAAAUUAAAAUCUCGUUGGUUAGGACCUUUUGAAGUAGCCCACGUAUAUCCUUGUGGAGCUGUGGAUGUUAAAGAUGUUUAGAUUGGGCUCACAUUUAACAUCAAUGGGCAACGCUUAAAGCAUUACUGGGGUGUUCUUGUGACUCGAGAUAAAUAGUCCAUUGAUCUCCGAGAUGUUUAACUUCAGCGUCUCGAUGAUUUUAUUUUUGUUUUUAGUUUUGUCUAUUUUUAGUUUCUCUUAGCUAUUUCAUUUACUUCGUUUAAUAAAUUUUAUUUUGUAUUGCAAAUAUUUGCAUGGUAAUAAGGGUUCGGGCCCUACAUUGCUCUUUGGCCCAUCGGCAGUUAUUUCCUAAAUAUUUGGCCUUCCAAAUAUUUUUUUUAUUUUUUUCCUUUUCCCUUCAAUUUCAAUCACACCACAAUCAAGCCAUCAUUAUUGCCCAUCCACUCGCCCAUUUCACCCCAUUAUUUUACUACUGUGUUAUUUUUCUUUUACCCUAAUCGUUUCAUCUUCUUUUACAGUUAACCUAAGUUUUCUUUUUCUCCAAAUUUACUUAUAUUUCUUUUACUCUUGCAAGUUUUCACCUUUUUCGUUUACCAUUUACUCUACCUUCUCCUAAUGGCCAGAUGUUUUACUCUGUAACCAUCUGCUCUGCCACCACACACAUUUUCAACCAAGAAGUGGAAGAUCAGUACACGCAUAAUAUCUCGAAGUUUCCUUUCUGCUUGGAAAAAAGCUUUCUUUUUCAAGAUAAGACCUUUCUGGAUCUAUUUCUUUUGUGGUACAACAACAUGGAUGGAAGAUUUUCUGUUUGCAUCUAAAUGAUGUUUUGACAAAGGUGGUUCAUGAGUUUUAUACUCAUCUUACUUCUCCCAACAAUGUUUUUAUUCAUAUGUGAAGAGCAUCAAUGUUAUUUGAUGAAUAUUCCAUUCAUGUUCAGUACGGCUUAUCUAAUGUUCAAGAUGAACAAACUCAGUUUGCUGCUACAAUCACUACGGAUGGUCUGAAUAAGUUCUUCAAGACUUGUGUGUAACAGGUUGUAACACCCCAAACUCGGCCCAGACGUUAUGACCGGAUCCGACAUGCCACAUCGAAGCGUUCAAAAUAUUUUCUAUUGUUGAUCCAGAAAAAACUUACUUAGUGUUUUAAAAGAUAAUUUCAUUAUAGGUUAAAGUGAAUGGAAGCUGUGCACCAGGUAGGAAACCGGAAAAGAGGUGGUGAGUCCAUCGGACUGCUUAAGUACCAAGCUCCCUUCGGAUCCAAUCCUAGACAUGCAUACCGCCAUUGCCACACCUUAAUGUCAUGGAUAUUUCUAGGAAACUGAUUUGAUUAAGUCAUUUUUAGGAAAAGUGAUUAAUUUUGGAAAAUACUUUCAUUGCGGAAGCUUUGUUUGUUGUCGUGUUAUUUUGAAAUCAAUUGUUGUUUUGAAAACGCGCCCUAAAGCUAUCCAAUUUCAACAGUUAAAAUAAGUAAUACCUAUCUUAGUAAUACAUAUUAAAACCAUCAAAAAUAAUUAAGCGGCCUUAUUACAUUUAAAAACCCAAAACUUCAAACGUAAAUAAAAGGAUGUCCAAUUCACCAGAAGAAAAUCAAACUUUCAGAACGGGUGGCCACUCCGAAUUCCCUCACAACUCCAAGCCCACUAUGGUUGGGGAUUUCCUGCGUGGAUGAAAAUAAAAGGGGUGAGAUUGGGGAAACUCAGUGUGUAAGGAAAACCCAUUCAAAGCCCAAGUCAGCUCAAGCCUAUUGGGCCUAAGCCUAUUCAGGUAACAGUGGUACUGGACCAGAGCCCUUUUCAGAUUACAAUAAACUGGGCCUUAGCCCCUUAAUCAGAUAACAGUAUGGCCCAUAGGCCCAUUUCAAAAUACAUGAAACAUCAAUAACAUAUGCAAGCCCAUUUGGGGAGACUACUCAACCCACCAACCACUACACUCCACCCGUACCAGCCCUACACUCCAUGUGGGGAAUAGCUCAACCCACCCAGCCCAACACUCCACAGUUGCAGCCUUGCUGCUUAGUUAACAGUAAAUUGAGGCAAAGCCUCCAGUACGUGGACAAGCCACUUUCAGUACUUCCUCCGUCAAUAUCUCAAUCCCAUGCAUCAGAUAAUAACAACAUGGCAUGCAGUAAAUAACAACAGUCAAACAUGCAUUUAGGUCAAUUUAACCAUAGGGGUAUUUCGGUAAUUUAUCUACUAGGGGUAAAACUGUAAAUUUUCCACUUUUAAAGGUAUUUCAGUAAUUUAUCUAUUUUAGGGUUUUUCAUGCAUAUUCCUACCUUUCACUUACUAACAGAAUUACGUACCGAGGGUUCUUACUGAAUUGGGCCCGUUGGCCCAUCAUUCCAAUUUUGGCCCAUUAAGCCCAAAAAUAUCGAGGGCACAGAAAUCAUGCACUUUGCAGUCCAAAUUUUACAGCUUACCAAAAACAUUAAUUGAUUUACCUCACGAGCAUUCGCACACUCACAAAUCUACAAAAUACUGAUUUUUGGCAUUUCGGCUUUUCGACUUUUGCCGAUCCAGACUAAGAAAGAGGGUGUUAGUUACACACCUGUUUGCGACGAUAUGCUGACGAGAUCCACACACGAACCGCCUACAAUUGGAUUACUAACAUGUUAAUCUAACUAUUCAAAUACAAACUACGUAUUAACCCCUUACAAUAUUCGGCCAACCACACCUACAGAUCAUAGUAAGCUUAUAAGAAAACAAUAAGCAACUCAUUAAUAAAUUUUUGUCAAUGUUUACCACAUAAUCAUAAUUUCACUGCAAGCUGUCUUCCUGAACAACAGUCACUAAAUCAUUUAUAACUGGAGCUACGAAACUCCAAAUCAAGUUCUGUUAAUUUUACCUGAAAAUAGACUCAUAUAUCUUCUAUCCAUAAAAUUUUCAGAAUUUUUUGUUUAGCCCAUCAAUACCAGAUUUUUCUCAAAGUUUCCCAUGUUUCACUGUUUGACUAAUCUGACCACUCUUCAUUACGAAUCAAAUUUCUCAUUGUAUAGAAUUCAAAAUAUGUUCUAGUUUAUUCCAUUUGAAAAUAGACUCAUUAAGAUUUAAUUACAUAAUUUAUGCAGCUUCUAACUCAUCUCCCACAAUUUAUGGUGAUUUUCCAAAGUCACAUUACUGCUGCUGUCCCAAGCAGAUUUAUUACCAAAUCACUCUUUCACACCUAACUUGCAUGCUUGUUAUUUAAACAUGUAUAUCACCAAUCAAUCAUCACAUAUCUAUGAUUUUACUUAAGUAUAAUCUCCAUUUCAUCAUUUUAAAGAACAACAUGUUAGCUGAUUUUUCCCUUUAACAUCUAAGGCACAUGCAUGCUCAUUUGUUUGGCUCAACUUCACCUAUCUUCCAUUUUCCAUCAAAAGAACAUGAAACAACAACCAUUUCCUUCAUUUUAAUUCAUGACUAAAUGCUCACAACGCAACUAAAAACCAAAAUAUGCUUCAAGAGUUAAGGCGGAAUCAAGAUGAACUCAUGAACCUCAAAAUAAGAAGCAAGGUACCAAGAACUUACCUUCAAUUUUCCUCCUCCUAAUGACCGAAUACUCAAGAGCUUUCUCCUCUCCUUUCUCUUCUCUAACUUUC
This 37642-nucleotide long non-coding RNA is filed under the name Gossypium barbadense (sea-island cotton). RNAcentral describes it as "long non-coding RNA (GBAR_LNC008988)". Lineage: Eukaryota; Viridiplantae; Streptophyta; Magnoliopsida; Malvales; Malvaceae. The record is from RNAcentral.